AUAUCAAUCCCAAUCUGAGUCGAACUGAAUCUAAUUCAGGUUAGACUUAUUCCAAAGCUUUUUAUUCAAUCAAAUUGAGUCAAUUAGUAAUCUAAUUACUAAUUAAUUCUCUAUAAAUGGUAGAGUCUCAAUCUCAAUGGGACUCUCCCAUAGAGUCCUAGUCCAAUAGGACUCUUCACCAGAGUCACAAUCCAAUUGUACUCUUCACCAUC
Molecule: long non-coding RNA, 212 nt
Filed under: Elaeis guineensis (African oil palm)
Lineage: Eukaryota; Viridiplantae; Streptophyta; Magnoliopsida; Arecales; Arecaceae
Description: long non-coding RNA (EGUI_LNC007503)
Source: RNAcentral